This is a long non-coding RNA of Raphanus sativus (radish), 1258 nucleotides long. RefSeq lists it as uncharacterized. The transcript is spliced from 4 exons. The record is from RefSeq and is a predicted model, not a curated record. Lineage: Eukaryota; Viridiplantae; Streptophyta; Magnoliopsida; Brassicales; Brassicaceae.
GAAAAUUAUUUGGUUUGUAGAGUGUUUGUGACUGAACUUGUGAGAAGUUUGACUUGUGGUUUAAGGUUGGUGAUUUUGAAUAGUGAGCUAUGAAUCUUAAAACAUGUAUAUAUUUUUUUUCUCUUUUCAGAAUGUAUAUAAGAGUAUUUAUUCUGUGAUCUCUAGGGUUGUUCAUGGACUCAACGCUACAGUCUUUGCCUAUGGUUCCACUGGAAGUGGCAAAACCUAUACAAUGGUUGGAACACGAAGUGACCCUGGAUUGAUGGUUCUCAGCUUGAAUACCGUAUUUGACAUGAUUAAGAGUGACAAGAGCUCUGAUGACUUCGAAGUGACUUGCUCCUAUCUUGAAGUCUACAAUGAAGUUAUAUACGAUCUGCUUGAAAAAUCAUCCGGUCAUUUGGAGCUCACUAGCUCAGAGAGGAUCCAGAGCAGGGAGUAGUUGUUGCAGGCAUGCGAUCAAUCAAGGUCCCAUGCAGUUCUGGAGAUUGAAGUAAAAAGAAGGCAACAUAAGCAAAAUCAAGUUAUGAGAGGGAAACUCUCCACCGCCGAAUUAGCUUUCUCCGGCGUCUCCCUGACUUCCUCCGAGCUUUGUCGGCCACCACCACACCGAACGUCUCAUAGUCUCCUUUAAAAAAAACAGAACUCUGGUUUGUCGAAUGCUCUCUAUGUCUCUUGUGUUGUUUUAGUUAAUUGGUUGUCCGAAGUCUGCUAUCUGGUUGGGAUUAGAUGAGAAAACGUGUUAGUUUGUUUAAGCAGUUGAUUGCCAUGUUCAUCUACUUCAAAUGCUCACGGAAGAAAAUGGAUACUUUCUCAGUUGAAUUAGACCAAAUCGACUCUUGUGUUGUGCCUCUCAACUUUCUUCUGGUUUUGACUUCAACAGAUGUGUUUACAUGUGUCUUUCAGAAUUCAAGACGAGAGAGAUGGAAGCGAGAACCGAGCUGAAGCAGAAGUUUUACGAGAUCUUCGAAGAGUUUAUGACCGGGUAAGUUUGUUUAAGUCACAGAGACACAUAUAUUAUUUGCUUUUCAAGUAUGUUGUGUUUCGUCUCUCUGAAUCUUAUGUAUUGCAAUGGAAGUAUGCCUUGAACAUGGAAGAACUUGGGUUAUUGCAACGGAUUCCGAAACAUUUCUAAUUUGACUAUGCUGAAAAAACUUACAAGAGACUGAGGAAUGGGGGAGUACAAGGUUAAGAUGAAGGAUGAUAUUUUCAGAUGCCCUUUUUGCUCUGGGAAGAAGAAGCAACACUACAAAUUGAAUGA